AGGACGAACGCUGGCGGCGUGCUUAACACAUGCAAGUCAAGGGGGCUCAGCAAUGGGCAACCGGCGAACGGGUGCGUAACACGUGAGCAACCUGCCGAUUUGAGGGGGAUAGCCGGCCCAACGGCCGGGUAAUACCGCAUACGUUCUAUUGGCCACCUGGCCGACAGAAGAAACCUCCGGGGCAGAUCGAGGGGCUCGCGGCCUAUCAGCUAGUUGGUGUGGGUAACGGCCCACCAAGGCGACGACGGUAGCUGGUCUGAGAGGAUGGCCAGCCACAUUGGGACUGAGAGACGGCCCAGACUCCUACGGGAGGCAGCAGUGGGGAAUCUUGCGCAAUGGCCGAAAGGCUGACGCAGCGACGCCGCGUGUGGGAUGAAGCAUUUCGGUGUGUAAACCACUGUUGCCCGGGACGAACACACUCUUCGAGAGUGCUGACGGUACCGGGUGAGGAAGCGACCGGCUAACUCCGUGCCAGCAGCCGCGGU
RNAcentral lists this ribosomal RNA (485 nucleotides) under uncultured bacterium. RNAcentral's name for it is "SSU rRNA". It matches the Rfam family "Bacterial small subunit ribosomal RNA", at positions 26 to 521 of the family's 1533-position model. The record is from RNAcentral.